Molecule: long non-coding RNA, 542 nt
Organism: Patella vulgata (common limpet)
Lineage: Eukaryota; Metazoa; Mollusca; Gastropoda; Patellidae
Exons: 6
Source: RefSeq, a predicted model, not a curated record
CAGGUAGAUUAUGUUCCCCGGCCGAGUGUAAAGCUAGCGGUAAAAAAAACCCAGACAGUUGUACCGUAUACCAAUGUUCAUUCAGUGUUGAUGAUGGGUGUGACACUUUUUAUAAAGAUGGCAUUCAGACAUAUUGUUCUGGAAAUGGUGUACCAUGUGGAGAAGGUCAAUUCUGUGCUCUGGGUUCGAGUAAAUGUUUCAAUGACACGGCGUGCAUAUACACUAAUUUUUGCGGCUUGACAGAUAAUGGUGACGCAUGCGGAUAUCAUGGAGGCAAAUGUUCUGAUGGUGUUUGUCUCGUGCCAUGUGUUAAAGAAAGUGAAUGUGGCGGUUCUAUAACAUGUAUUGGUGGCUACUGUGUUGGGGUUAAAUGUGGACAAUCAAUCUGUGAUGGGUAAACCAGUCCAUGUUAUGCUACAGCCACUGUACAGUGAACAACCAUUUCUAGAUUCAAUACAAUUAGUAUCUCGUUUAAAUGAAUUAAUUUUCUCGUUUGAACACAAUAAUUGUCUGGUUCAUAAAUUGUAAUUUUAAGCUAACGA